Molecule: long non-coding RNA, 306 nt
Organism: Zophobas morio
Lineage: Eukaryota; Metazoa; Arthropoda; Insecta; Coleoptera; Tenebrionidae
Exons: 3
Source: RefSeq, a predicted model, not a curated record
UCGCUAAUCAUGUAUGCGUGUCCUUACGCACAGCGUGCGUAAGAAAAGCAAAUCGCACAGUUAGGGAUUUUUCGAUUUAUUCAGUUUAGGUUGGUAGUGAAAAUGACAAGACGGACAGGCAAAUACAAAAUUGUGAAGCACUGUCAGCGUUACUGUUAAUAAAAGAGGCAUAAUCAAAGAAUUUUAAAAGAAGAAAACGAACAAGUCUAAAAUGUCUAGCGAUAGUGAUGAAUUAAUGUGCACGCCGCCGGAGAUAAUUGAAAAGAUAUGAAAUCGUCUACCAAAAAUUUAUGGAAUGGAAAAUAA